AAGAUAUUGCCAUGUAGUUCUGUUGAAAGUUAGGUCCUGGAAAGUCCUCAACUUUGUCCUAAGAAGAACUUGUUGUUAGAAGCCAAGCACACUUUUCAGAAUGUUUCUGCAGUUUGCGCUGCAGUUUUCAUUCAAACAUUCUUCUAGUGCCAGCUCUCCCAUGCAAGUCAAAGGUAGGUUAUGAUGUAAAGUGGAGUUCCUUCUCAGAGAAAGCAGCUAGAUCUCUGUCACUGUGUCAGAACACUCCACUCUGUGAAUUCCAUGGAAUAAUAUUCACGUCACAAUCUGGCUCUCUGGAUUGCCAAAUUCUGUAGCAUAUCUCUAUGAGGGCUGGGGCUUCCACAGCUCGUGACAGGAACAGCCAGGGAUGGUCUACCCAAGACUCCUGUUCCCCAUUUUCCAAGAGCCCUUUCUGGCAUCAUAAGGGAAUUUUCCCACCGGGAGUCUACUAAAUAUCGUCUAAUCCAAUCCCAAAUCCAUGGAAAAGAAGACAAUGAGCAAAUCUCUCAGGCCUGAAUUCUUAUUUCUCUAGAACUUCAUCCUCUCUCUCUGGUUCCAUCACCUACUAAGGGGCUUUCCAUCCUCAGCUUUGAGCUUCUUUGCCUCUGACUGUGACAGGACCGAGAGACUGACGUAGCUAUCUCCAAAGUGUAAACUGGCCCCGAUGAUUGAAAUAUCAGUUAUAUCCAAGUGGUCAGUUCUGCUUCUCCUCCAGCGUCUUCAUGUCUUCAGCUGUUCAUUUAAGUUUUGAUGAAGUGGUGGGAAGUUAGAAGGUCAGCGAGAAAUUGGGCUCGCCGGUAGAUCUCAGCCCUUUGAUGUCCGUCCUGCUCUUCCUCUAGGGCCCGCAGAGGUUCUUCUUAGAGUCGGAUGGUGGGAAGCACACCAGUGAGGAGCAAGGACCUGGCCGGGAGCAGGUGGCCACCACAUUCCCAGGGCCGCACAGCCUCCCGUCCCCUAGGACUCCACUUCUGUGACUGCAGAGCGAGUACCAGACCUCUGGAAGAGAGAAAGAGAGGACAACGUGGGAGGCCACCCAACGGGAGGCUAGAGGGGCCUUUGCUGGAGAGGUGAGGAAGGGCAGAAGCCUUACGGGCUGGACAGGAGCGUCACGUGCCUCGACCGGCAGACCAGUGAGAAGGGGCGGAGCCGGAAGAGCAAGGAAAGGGCAUCGGCAAAGCAGGUGGUUGGAUCAGCUGACAGAACAGUGGGCUGGCCCAGAGGAGGCCAGAAGGUGGACAGCUGCACCCGCGUGCUAAGGAGGGCUCUGUGCAGAAGCCAGUGGAUGAAGUUUCCAGGAAGAUGUGGGGACAGGAGGAGCAUGCUCAGCUGUCCCCUUCUUCCGGCCUAGAGCACGGAGAAGACUCCAGAGAGGAGCAGGCAGUCAUUGUUCCCAGUGAAGAAAGUGGGUUCCACCGCAAGCCUAGAUCCUGACAUCCCUGAAUGCAGCUCCAGCCCCGGGGCCAGGCACCUCCCCUGCUCCUCACCCAGGAAAACUAGAACCACUGAUUGGUUUCGGCUCUGCUCCAGGCUACUUCUCCCAGCCAAACAUAGCCCCUAUCCAUAGGCGAGGUGACCUGGCGCUUGAGUCUCUCAGAGUCACUUAUCUGCUUGACCUAGAGCUCCACGCAGCAACUGUCCCUUGACAGAGCCAGGCCCUCCUCCGGGGGCCUGAAAAGCACUUUGUAGAAAUGGAGUUUCUGUUUGUCUGGGGGUUUUGCCUUGCUGAAAGCAAGCUGACCUCCGUGCACCAUGUAUGACAUGAUUAGCAGGAAGCGGCCCAGCUGGUUUUAUUGGUUUUCCUUGGGCUUUGGUCUUAGAAGGUUUCUUGCUGAGUUGAUUUCACCCUGAUAACUCCCUUUACACUCCACUUCCUAAUCCAAAAGGGCCCACAUUGGGGGUAGAGAAACAGAGAGCAAUCCUUUCCCAGCCCUCUCCUGGGGCUCCUUAGCUCUUGACUGCACUGCUGGGCUGGCUUAGCAAAAGCAAUUCGAUCUCCAGAGUUUCCUGGCCACCUUCCCUCUCUGUUGGCCUGUCGGAGAGCUCCAGCCGGUGAGUCUGUGGCCACAGGGCGUCUGAUCUCGAGGAUAGUGCCGCGCCCUUUGGUCUUGGUCUGCUGUGUGCUGUGCUCAUGAUGCUUACGUUCUGCUCCGGCCCUGAGAGCUGACAUGGCUUUGGAAAGUGAGAUUCCAGCCCACACCCAGGUGAAACUCUCCUAGCCUUUGACCUACACAGAUCUCCUCAGCCAGCGCAGGGCUUUGUACACUGGAUUCCAAGGGCCACCAUGCCAAACCUUGAUUGAAAAGAAAUGUUUGUUGCAGUGUAGCCACUCCCAGCUGAGCGGAAUGGAGAUGUAAACAGGAAGUCAGCAAAAGCAGGGCUGCUCUGCUUAGGGGGAACAGGGUGGGGAUUAUGAGAGCAGAGCGAUGCUGUUGAAAACACCUCUGGAUCAGCUGUACCCUCUCCCUAGGGGAUCCCAAGGCAACUCCUCCAAGGGAACUUGGGAUUCAGGGAACAGUUCGAAAACCACUCCACAGUUGUGUCGGCUUCAUUGGCUUUGCAAUCUGGCCUGGGACUGGCGGAGCUCUGCUCUGGGUGGGUCUGGGUGGGUCGCAGAGGUGUGGCCCCUUGUCCCCUUCCUCUGGGGCACUGUUCCCUGUUCCAUUUCCAGCUUUGCCUCUUCUGGAUCCUACACCUGUGCCUGCAGGAGCACGUGACCAGUGUCAUCCCUAGAGCUGUCCGCACCUUGGGGGUGCAGGGCACUGUUGUAGUCGUGUCCAGAGGUCAGCUUGACUUGCUCAGAUUCUUAAGGUGUCUGUUUCAUUUAAAUCAGGUCAUGUGCUUGCAUAUGUGUACUUUUUAAGUGCAGGAAUCAACCAAGAGAAUGGUGCCACAUAAAAAAGAAACACGUGCAGGGCUCCGUGGCUGCCUGUGUAGAUGCACUGUUAUGUCUGUGUAUGUGGGAAUCGUGCUUAGGGACGAGGCCGGCCUGAGGGUGUGAUGAUUUCUGGUGUCCGGGCAGCCAGGCUCCUCUGUCCUGAGGCAGUUGAUCAGAUGCAAAGACUCAGCCCGGCCCUUCAGAAAGAGGAAAUGAGAAAUGUUACAGCUGAAAGGGCCAGAGCUGAGCUGACCAUGAGUGCACACAUGAAGUAUGCUGUCAUAUCCACUGCCCAGAUUGAAAGAGACACAGGUCUGUGUGGACCAUGUGGCUUUAAACACCUUGGCCUGUUUGCUUUGACUAUGACAGCACUGCCCACCGAGGGCCACUUUCCUGUCUAAAUAGGAGAGCUAGAGACAAGGCUAAUGCGUUCAUAGGGCUCUCUGUAUUAAAAUUAAAUACAGAAAACAGCAUUUCAGGUGCUGUUGACAAUUAAUUAUUGCUUCGUCUCCUUGACUUCUCUAUGUUUCUAAAUCCCUGAUGCCAACAUAAAGGCAGGGGAAGUAGGAAGAGAGCACCAACAUUUAUUGACUGUCCUGUUCUAUUAGUUUUUAACCUAGUGUUGUGGCUUGUAUCUAGAUGUCCCCCACAAAGCCUCAUGUGCUCAUAGAUGGGGCUUCUUGGAGGCGGUUGGAUCUAGGGUUUGUGAAUAUGGAUAAGGGUAUGUGACAACUAAAUCAGUCCCCUGAUUGGUUUAGCAUUGUUCUGAGUGUGGAUAAUGAGAAACCUCACUGUGGCGGGGGGGGCGGGGGGGGCACCAACCAAUAGGCUUGUAGCCUGGGUGGGAUAAUAGUCCAGAAGGCUCACCACUUCCUGCUUCCUGCCUGCCAUGCCAUGGACUGUUUCUCCUCUGUGAUGCCCCUCUGCGGUGCCCCUCUGUGAUGCCACCCAGCCGACUAUGGAGUGAAACCUCUACCAGCUGCGAGCCGCAAUGGACCUUUCCUCCUUUAACUUAUGUGAAGCCGUUCAGAGAGGCAGAGAGACUCCUGCAUGGACACCUAGCAGAGCUGGGAUCUGCAGCAGUCGGCAUGACUUUGGGAUUCCAAUAGUGGUUGGUGUGGGAACAGAAGCUCCCAAGUAGAUGCAUCUUCCUUACUAAACAGCUCUACAAGGACGGAGACAUCUCUGCAGCUUUUGUCCCAGCUCGAGAACAGUGCCAGGUGUUUGCUGAAUGAAUGCAUGAACUGUGUCCGAUGGGUACCAAGUUCUGCAUCAGCAACUCUCCGUGUGUAACUGUUUCACCUUGUCAUCGACUCUGUGGCACGGGCAUUAUUAACCCUGGCUAGGAGGGACAGCAAGGAAGGAAAAGCGUGGCAGAAUCACUAAUUUCAGGUCUUUACUGAGCACCGUUGCACCUCUCUGGCCAUCACUUUGGAAAAGACCAGGACAGCCCCACGCCUGCCUGCCAACCACAGCGUCCUUUCUUCCAAGACUCAGCGAAGCCUGUGUCCCGGGAACUCUCCUGACUCGUCCUUGUCUAUGCUGCUCAGUCUCACUCUGGUGGCUGCCCUGGGACUGUACCACAUCCCAUCAGAUUUGGGGCUCCCUUUUGGUUGGCAAUUCCAAAAACUGCUGCA
Heterocephalus glaber (naked mole-rat) is the source of this 4512-nucleotide long non-coding RNA. NCBI's taxonomy places the organism in Eukaryota, Metazoa, Chordata, Mammalia, Rodentia, Bathyergidae. The record is from Ensembl.